This 431-nucleotide RNase P RNA is filed under the name Bradyrhizobium cytisi. Its description in RNAcentral is "RNase P RNA component class A". It matches the Rfam family "Bacterial RNase P class A". Rfam says of the family: Ribonuclease P (RNase P) is a ubiquitous endoribonuclease, found in archaea, bacteria and eukarya as well as chloroplasts and mitochondria. Its best characterised activity is the generation of mature 5'-ends of tRNAs by cleaving the 5'-leader elements of precursor-tRNAs. The record is from RNAcentral. Lineage: Bacteria; Pseudomonadati; Pseudomonadota; Alphaproteobacteria; Hyphomicrobiales; Nitrobacteraceae.
UCAGUCGGCCGGACGGCCGCUCCGGCAAGUGCCGAAAGGCCGCCGGGGAGGAAAGUCCGGGCUCCCUUGACAUACGGUGCCGGAUAACGUCCGGCGGGGGCAACCCUAGGGAAAGUGCCACAGAGAACGAACCGCCCGCCGACGCAGCGCAAGCUGCGCAGGCGGGUAAGGGUGAAAAGGUGCGGUAAGAGCGCACCGCGGGUCCGGCAACGGAGCCGGCAUGGUAAACCCCACCGGGAGCAAAACCGAAUAGGGACGGCGUCGCGGGCCGUUCGCGCAAGCGAUAACGCCGCGGGGCGAUGUCAGGCCCGCCGUCCGGGUAGGUUGCUCGAGGCCAUGUGCAAACAUGGUCCCAGAGGAAUGGCCGUCACGUAUCGUUUGCGCAAGCGGACGGUGCCCUACAGAACCCGGCUUACAGGCCGGCUGAUAUC